This 433-nucleotide ribosomal RNA is filed under the name uncultured bacterium. Its description in RNAcentral is "partial 16S ribosomal RNA". It matches the Rfam family "Bacterial small subunit ribosomal RNA", at positions 29 to 507 of the family's 1533-position model. The record is from RNAcentral.
AGCGAACGCUGGCGGCAGGCUUAACACAUGCAAGUCGAGCGGGCACUUCGGUGUCAGCGGCAGACGGGUGAGUAACACGUGGGAACGUACCCUUUGGUUCGGAAUAACGCUGGGAAACUAGCGCUAAUACCGGAUACGCCCUUUUGGGGAAAGGCUUGCUGCCGAAGGAUCGGCCCGCGUCUGAUUAGCUAGUUGGUGGGGUAAUGGCCUACCAAGGCGACGAUCAGUAGCUGGUCUGAGAGGAUGAUCAGCCACACUGGGACUGAGACACGGCCCAGACUUCUACGGGAGGCAGCAGUGGGGAAUAUUGGACAAUGGGCGCAAGCCUGAUCCAGCCAUGCCGCGUGAGUGAUGAAGGCCUUAGGGUUGUAAAGCUCUUUUGUCCGGGACGAUAAUGACGGUACCGGAAGAAUAAGCCCCGGCUAACUUCGUG